UGUGCAAAUCAAUAUAAAUUGAUUAAAUUUUAUUUACUGUUUUUAAAAAUUAUUAAAAAUAAUUAUAUAGAUUAAAAGGUUUGGUAUUUAAUAAAGAAUAAAUAAAUUUAGUUAUAGUGUAGUAGUAUUGUAAAAGAAUAUUGAAAUAUUUUGAAAAAUUAUUAUUAUUAAAGAAAAUUUUAUUUGUUGUACCUUGUGUAUCAGGGUUUAUUAAAUAAAAUAUAUUAAGUUUAUAUUUCUCGAUUUUAAAAGAGUUAAUAAAAUAUUUUAUAUAAUGUGAUAAAAUUAUUAAAAAUAUUUUAUUAGAAAUGAAAUGUUAUUCGUUUUUAAAGGUAUCUAGUUUUUUAAGAAAUAAAUUUAAUUUAGAAGUUUUUAUUUUUAUACUGUUGAUUUAAUAAUAGUAUGAAUUAAAAAUUUUAGUAUUUUAUGGGAUAAGCUAUAAAAUAAAUUUUUAAAAAUAAAUAAUUUUUAAAAUAAAUAUAUGCUUAGAAUUAGCAAUUAUUAAUAAUUAUGUUAUAAUUUAUUUUAUAAAAAAGAUUAUUUACUUAAUUUUAAAUUUUUUUAUUAAAAUGUUAAUUUUAAUUUUAUAAGUUAAUCAAUAAUGAUAGAAUUAGUAUAUUUUUUAUGUAAUAAUUAAAGUUAUAAUGAUAAGUUUAAUUAAAGAAUUCGGCAAAUAUAAUGUUCGCUUGUUUAACAAAAACAUGGCCUUUAGAAAUUAAUUUAAGGUCUGACCUGCCCACUGAAUUUUAAAUGGCCGCAGUAUUUUAACUGUGCAAAGGUAGCAUAAUCAUUAGUUUUUUAAUUGAAAGCUUGUAUGAAUGGUUGGACGAAAUAUUAACUGUUUCAUUUAAAUUUAUAAUAGAAUUUUAUUUUUUAGUUAAAAAGCUAAAAUAAAGUUAAAAGACGAGAAGACCCUAUAGAUCUUAAUAAUUUUAUUAAUUUUAUUUAUAAAGAUUAUUUAGAAUAUAAUUGAUAGAUUAUUUUAUUGGGGUGAUAUUAAGAUUUAAUAAACUCUUAAAUUUUUUAAUACAUUAAUUUAUGAAUAGUUGAUCCAUUAUUAAUGAUUAUUAAACUAAGUUACCUUAGGGAUAACAGCGUAAUUUUUUUUGAGAGUUCAUAUCGAUAAAAAAGAUUGCGACCUCGAUGUUGGAUUAAGAGAUAAUUUUAGGUGUAGCCGCUUAAAUUUUAAGUCUGUUCGACUUUUAGAUUCUUACAUGAUCUGAGUUCAAACCGGCGUAAGCCAGGUUGGUUUCUAUCUUUAAUCUAUUGAAAUAUUUUAGUACGAAAGGACCAAAUAUUUAAAAAAUUAUUUUUUUUUAUAAGAAUUAAAUUAAGAUGAAUUAAA
RNAcentral lists this ribosomal RNA (1345 nucleotides) under Platypalpus agilis. Its description in RNAcentral is "16S ribosomal RNA". Lineage: Eukaryota; Metazoa; Arthropoda; Insecta; Diptera; Hybotidae. The record is from RNAcentral.